AGUGAACGCUGGCGGUAGGCCUAACACAUGCAAGUCGAACGGCAGCACAGUAAUAGCUUGCGCUUACGGGUGGCGAGUGGCGGACGGGUGAGGAAUACAUCGGAAUCUACUUUUUCGUGGGGGAUAACGUAGGUAAACUUACGCUAAUACCGCACACGACCUACGGGUGAAAGCAGGGGAUCUUCUGACCUUGCGCGAUUGAAUUAGCCGAUGUCGGAUUAGCUAGUUGGCGGGGUAAAGGCCCACCAAGGCGACGAUCCGUAGCUGGUCUGAGAGGAUGAUCAGCCACACUGGAACUGAGACACGGUCCAGACUCCUACGGGAGGCAGCAGUGGGGAAUAUUGGACAAUGGGCGCAAGCCUGAUCCAGCCAUACCGCGUGGGUGAAGAAGGCCUUCGGGUUGUAAAGCCCUUUUGUUGGGAAAGAAAAGCAGCAGGUUAAUACCCCGCUGUUCUGACGGUACCCAAAGAAUAAGCACCGGCUAACUUCGUG
This 492-nucleotide ribosomal RNA is filed under the name uncultured bacterium. Its description in RNAcentral is "partial 16S ribosomal RNA". It matches the Rfam family "Bacterial small subunit ribosomal RNA", at positions 29 to 507 of the family's 1533-position model. The record is from RNAcentral.